Molecule: long non-coding RNA, 613 nt
Organism: Rosa rugosa (rugosa rose)
Lineage: Eukaryota; Viridiplantae; Streptophyta; Magnoliopsida; Rosales; Rosaceae
Exons: 3
Source: RefSeq, a predicted model, not a curated record
CAUUCUCAUCACUCACCAUUUCUCUGUAAAUUUGUUCUGUGGCGAAAGAAUCAUUCUUAAUUUUUCUCUGGAUGUUUGAAAUUAGGUUACAGCAGCUCUCCUGGUUCCGUAGCUGGUUUCGCUACUUCAUUUCUCAGGGUUUUGCUGCGCACCGGAACGAGACCACUACGAAACUCUUGGGAGCGCAAGCAAAGAUGAGAUUAAAAAGGCUUUACGACGCUGGCCAAGAAAUACCAUCCUGAUGCAAAUAGGGACAAUCCUUCUUAUAAGAGAAAAUUUCAAGAGAUAAGAGAAGCUUAUGAGGUUUGAUUUGUGACUGGAGCAAAAAUUUACUAACCUCCUAUACGAGUUUUUCAGAGCUGUCUCUUUUAUGUGUUCCUAUCUCAUUAUUACCAAAAUCUGGAAUAGUUUGCAAGUUUUCCUAAAUUGGGCGUGUAAAAAUUCCGUUCUUCAUUUUCUUUUUCAUUGUUGAUUCCAGACAUUGCAAGAUCCUGAAAAGAGGGCAGAAUAUGACAUGGUAAUAACCCUCUCUAAGAAACACACAUCACAGUUUUGUUGUUAUUAGAUGUUGUAUGACACUAACUAAUUUGUGCGCAUCAGAGAUUCAUUUGAA